CCCGAUUAAAGGCAAAGCCAUUGAAAAAUGGCGGCGCAAAGCUAUAGGGGCUAAGGCGAACAACGCUAUGCCAGCCAGCUGCCGGG
RNAcentral lists this non-coding RNA (86 nucleotides) under Desulfofundulus kuznetsovii. Its description in RNAcentral is "Desulfotomaculum kuznetsovii c-di-GMP sequence". It matches the Rfam family "c-di-GMP-I riboswitch aptamer". From Rfam's summary of the family: GEMM was predicted in a large-scale screen for bacterial structured RNA regulatory elements. Genes associated with GEMM are involved in a diverse array of functions, including chemotaxis regulation, signal transduction, secretion and chitin. Lineage: Bacteria; Bacillati; Bacillota; Clostridia; Eubacteriales; Peptococcaceae. The record is from RNAcentral.